RNAcentral lists this transfer RNA (59 nucleotides) under Camelus bactrianus (Bactrian camel). It matches the Rfam family "tRNA", at positions 7 to 64 of the family's 71-position model. From Rfam's summary of the family: Transfer RNA (tRNA) molecules are approximately 80 nucleotides in length. RNAcentral also lists the same sequence under 2 other names. Lineage: Eukaryota; Metazoa; Chordata; Mammalia; Artiodactyla; Camelidae. The record is from Rfam by way of RNAcentral.
AUAGCUCAGUGGUAGAGCACGUGCUUAGCAUGCAUGAGGCCCGGGGUUCAAUCCUCAGU